Molecule: ribosomal RNA, 1150 nt
Filed under: uncultured bacterium
Lineage: Bacteria
Description: bacterial SSU rRNA
Rfam family: Bacterial small subunit ribosomal RNA
Source: RNAcentral
AAAGUUUGAUCCUGGCUCAGCGAAYACUGGCGGCGUGCCUAACAUAUGCAAGUCGAGCGGUUUACUGUGUGACACUGUGUGUCACUUGGAACUGGAGAUGGAAGAUGAAGAGAUUCAUUGGAAGUUAAGAGAGAAAAAUGAUACAGAGUGUCAUACAGUAGAUAGCGGCGGACGGGUGAGUAACGCGUGAGCAAUCUGCCCUAGACUGGGGGAUAACACAGGGAAACUUGUGCUAAUACCGCAUAACGUAUUGAUAUGGCAUCAUAUUAAUACCAAAGGAGAAAUCCGGUGAAGGAUGAGCUCGCGUCCGAUWAGCUAGUUGGUGGGGUAAAGGCCUACCAAGGCGACGAUCGGWAGCCGAACUGAGAGGUUGAUCGGCCACAUUGGGACUGAGACGCGGCCCAGACUCCWACGGGAGGCAGCAGUGGGGAAUAUUGCGCAAUGGGGGAAACCCUGACGCAGCAACGCCGCGUGGAGGAUGAAGGUUUUCGGAUUGUAAACUCCUUUGACCGGGGACGAAAAAAAUGACGGUACCCGGAAAACAAGCCACGGCUAACUACGUGCCAGCAGCCGCGGUAAUACGUAGGUGGCGAGCGUUGUCCGGAUUUACUGGGUGUAAAGGGCGUGUAGGCGGGAUUGUAAGUCAGAUGUGAAAUUCCAGGGCUCAACUCUGGAGCUGCAUCUGAAACUGUGAUUCUUGAGUACUGGAGAGGAUAGUGGAAUUCCUAGUGUAGCGGUGAAAUGCGUAGAUAUUAGGAGGAACACCAGUGGCGAAGGCGGCUAUCUGGACAGUAACUGACGCUGAGGCGCGAAAGCGUGGGGAGCAAACAGGAUUAGAUACYCUGMUAGUCCACGCUGUAAACGAUGGAUACUAGUGUAGGAGGUAUCGACCYCUUCUGUGCCGCAGUUAACACAAUAAGUAUCYCAYCUGGGGAGUACGGUCSYAAGGUUGAAACUCAAAGGAAUGACGGGGCYCGCACAAGCAGKGAGUAUGUGGUUAUCGAAGCACGCGARAAUCGUACAGACUGACAUACAUGAGUACCUAAGAAAGGUUKKUCUUCGGACAUGAUACAGGUGGGUCAUGUUGCUCACCCUGGUCUGGAAGUUGGCUAGUCCCGCAAAMGRAGCGCCMACCCCUUAUUGUUUAAGU